Molecule: long non-coding RNA, 247 nt
Filed under: Homo sapiens (human)
Lineage: Eukaryota; Metazoa; Chordata; Mammalia; Primates; Hominidae
Description: non-protein coding lnc-KCTD9-1:1
Source: RNAcentral
GCUUUUCCAGAUGUAUUUAUAGGUUAGAAUUUAAUGAAAGUUAAAAAAUACUUAAAAGAAAAACAUGAGAUGAAGCCAGCCUGUAUCACCUAGUCUCAGUUUAAUGAAUAAUGAAAUUAUUGAAUAAUAAUCAAAGGAGAUUUGGAAUGGGAUGUGCCUUUUGGGUCCCCAUUCCUCUAAAACUCCUAUUAGUGAAUUUGGCUCAAGCAUCACUUAUUCUGGAAAGAAACUAAACUUGCGUGAUCUG